This 45-nucleotide non-coding RNA is filed under the name Schistosoma mattheei. Lineage: Eukaryota; Metazoa; Platyhelminthes; Trematoda; Strigeidida; Schistosomatidae. The record is from RNAcentral.
GCUCAUCUGAUCAGUCUCAAAUAGAACGAAAUGUGCAUCCUGAAU